Molecule: microRNA precursor, 84 nt
Filed under: Prunus dulcis (almond)
Lineage: Eukaryota; Viridiplantae; Streptophyta; Magnoliopsida; Rosales; Rosaceae
Description: sRNA ncRNA
Source: RNAcentral
UGCGCGACGAAGUUAUUGUUUCGUCGCGCAAAGGUGUGUCGUGCAAAGCUACUUUGCGCGACGAAACAAUAACUUUGUCGCGCA